Molecule: non-coding RNA, 31 nt
Filed under: Rattus norvegicus (Norway rat)
Lineage: Eukaryota; Metazoa; Chordata; Mammalia; Rodentia; Muridae
Source: RNAcentral
UGAUGGAUAACAUAUCAAGGUAAGACCCUGU